This is a long non-coding RNA of Astatotilapia calliptera (eastern happy), 753 nucleotides long. NCBI's taxonomy places the organism in Eukaryota, Metazoa, Chordata, Actinopteri, Cichliformes, Cichlidae. The record is from Ensembl.
GGUUGAUUUCAGCAGGAUCAGUGCAGGAGAUUAUCAUCUUUACCAUCUUCAUGAUGCCAUCCAUCAGCGUCACUCAGGUUUUCCUGCUGUUUUCCUUCCUCCACCUCAUCACAUCACUUCCUGUCAGGGACCAGGAUGAAGUGGAAGAAUUCCUGACUCAAAUCAGACCCCUGAACGCACCAUGGUCUCUGUCAGCAAAUUCUGCAGAUGCUCUGGUUGAGGCCAGACUCAGGCAGCUGAUGUCUUCAGGUCUAGACCGCAGGAGGCAGCUGGGAGACAUCGAGUUCUCAAACAGAUACUCAGAGUUUCUGCGCUCUAAAGCCAAACACACCUCAAUCUGUGCUUUUCUGCGCCGCAUGCAAGGCAUAAAGAAGAGUGCGGUGGGAGCAGACACGGAGAAAGUGAAUCUGCUGCUGAAACAGUACAUGUGUCCAUCUGUCUACAACAACUGGCCCACCGACCUGUAGAAGACUCAGUGAGAUGAGGAGAUCCAAUGUGAUGUUAGUUGGAAAAUGUUGGAAACUGAUGAUCUGAAUAAAUGUGUGUAAAUGCAGCUGUUAUCUUAUUUAGUGUGGGAACACAUCACUUUGUUAUUAAAUAUGUUUUAUGAAGUACUUUUCAGUGACUAGUGUGUUUCAUAAUUAUGUGCAGGAUUUGAUAUUUGUGCAUACAAGAAUGCAUUGUGCUGCAAUAACUUGUCCUGAAGGUGGCGCUAAAUGAAAACUUAAAGGCUCAUGUCAGGGUUUUGAAGUC